RNAcentral lists this ribosomal RNA (254 nucleotides) under uncultured bacterium. Its description in RNAcentral is "partial 16S ribosomal RNA". It matches the Rfam family "Bacterial small subunit ribosomal RNA", at positions 524 to 776 of the family's 1533-position model. The record is from RNAcentral.
UACGUAGGGUGCGAGCGUUUGUCCGGAAUUAUUGGGCGUAAAGGGCUCGUAGGCGGUUUGUCGCGUCGGGAGUGAAAACCUCGGGCUUAACUCGGGGCUUGCUUUCGAUACGGGCAGACUAGAGGUAUGCAGGGGAGAACGGAAUUCCUGGUGUAGCGGUGAAAUGCGCAGAUAUCAGGAGGAACACCGGUGGCGAAGGCGGUUCUCUGGGCAUGAUCUGACGCUGAGGAGCGAAAGUGUGGGGAGCGAACAGG